GGGAGAAUCUAGAUAGGAAGCCCUCAGAGACUUUGUUCUGAGGCGACUCAAAGGAGUAUAGGUGAGGCUGAGUAAAGAAGACAGACUUGCAGAAAGGAAGGGCUGGGCUUAAUUGGAGACUGGACAAUUAUGUGUUUGUUUUGGAUUUUGAUAUCCCAGCAGAGGUGGACUUAAAAAAAAAAAAAGACUUAGCUGGAAGGCCAAGUUACUACAGUGAUCAAAUUAGGCUGGAGGGUCAGGAGAUCUAACCUGAAUGAGGAGAAACGGAGGCAAUGGCUAGCCCAAAGCCAUAAUGGGGUAUCCUAGAGACCAGGCUGGAGGGCCAAGUCAUACAGAAGAAGUGGGAGCCAAAGGGGCUGCAGGGUGAAAGAAGAUGAUAGAUGAAGACUGCCAGAGGAGGGUGCAGCCCCUUGAAGGAGCUAAGGCCUAGAGUGGCCAGGAAGAAGUACCCACAGUGAAAAACAGUUACCACCAUCCUUAACAGCACUUAGGAGACUGUCAAACAAGGGAGCUUUCUCUUCUACAACUCUCUCCAGCUAACGGGAACAAAAAAUGCUGUUAAAAUGAAAACUGUACUUAGUACUUCAGAUACUUUAACUGUUGUUUUUCCUCUUUCUGUAUCUUUUAAUAAAAGUUGAAAAGACUUUUAA
Dermochelys coriacea (leatherback sea turtle) is the source of this 650-nucleotide long non-coding RNA. RefSeq lists it as uncharacterized. Lineage: Eukaryota; Metazoa; Chordata; Testudines; Dermochelyidae. The transcript has 3 exons. The record is from RefSeq and is a predicted model, not a curated record.